This 255-nucleotide ribosomal RNA is filed under the name Clostridioides difficile. RNAcentral describes it as "partial 16S ribosomal RNA". It matches the Rfam family "Bacterial small subunit ribosomal RNA", at positions 49 to 313 of the family's 1533-position model. The record is from RNAcentral. Lineage: Bacteria; Bacillati; Bacillota; Clostridia; Peptostreptococcales; Peptostreptococcaceae.
UAACACAUGCAAGUUGAGCGAUUUACUUCGGUAAAGAGCGGCGGACGGGUGAGUAACGCGUGGGUAACCUACCCUGUACACACGGAUAACAUACCGAAAGGUAUGCUAAUACGGGAUAAUAUAUUUGGGAGGCAUCUCUUAAAUAUCAAAGGUGAGCCAGUACAGGAUGGACCCGCGUCUGAUUAGCUAGUUGGUAAGGUAACGGCUUACCAAGGCGACGAUCAGUAGCCGACCUGAGAGGGUGAUCGGCCACAU